Molecule: ribosomal RNA, 362 nt
Filed under: Staphylococcus aureus
Lineage: Bacteria; Bacillati; Bacillota; Bacilli; Caryophanales; Staphylococcaceae
Description: partial 23S ribosomal RNA
Rfam family: Bacterial large subunit ribosomal RNA
Source: RNAcentral
GGUCCCAAGGGUUGGGCUGUUCGCCCAUUAAAGCGGUACGCGAGCUGGGUUCAGAACGUCGUGAGACAGUUCGGUCCCUAUCCGUCGUGGGCGUAGGAAAUUUGAGAGGAGCUGUCCUUAGUACGAGAGGACCGGGAUGGACAUACCUCUGGUGUACCAGUUGUCGUGCCAACGGCAUAGCUGGGUAGCUAUGUGUGGACGGGAUAAGUGCUGAAAGCAUCUAAGCAUGAAGCCCCCCUCAAGAUGAGAUUUCCCAACUUCGGUUAUAAGAUCCCUCAAAGAUGAUGAGGUUAAUAGGUUCGAGGUGGAAGUAUGGUGACAUGUGGAGCUGACGAAUACUAAUCGAUCGAAGACUUAAUCAA